UCGAGAAUCUUCGGCAAUGGGCGCAAGCCUGACCGAGCGACGCCGCGUGCGGGAUGAAGGCCUUCGGGUUGUAAACCGCUGUCAGAGGGGCGGAAAUUUAUUGGAGUUCUCUCCAGUAAUUGACUUAACCUCAGAGGAAGCAUGGGCUAAGUUCGUGCCAGCAGCCGCGGUAAGACGAACCAUGCAAACGUUAUUCGGAAUUACUGGGCUUAAAGCGUGCGUAGGCGGCUCAGAAAGUUGGGUGUGAAAUCCCUCGGCCUAACCGAGGAAUUGCGCCCAAAACUACUGGGCUUGAGGGAGUUAGAGGUGAGCGGAACUCACGGUGGAGCGGUGAAAUGCGUUGAUAUCGUGAGGAACACCGGAGGCGAAAGCGGCUCACUGGGGCUUUUCUGACGCUGAGGCACGAAAGCUAGGGGAGCAAACGG
Molecule: ribosomal RNA, 425 nt
Filed under: uncultured bacterium
Lineage: Bacteria
Description: bacterial SSU rRNA
Rfam family: Bacterial small subunit ribosomal RNA
Source: RNAcentral